CAGCAGCCGCGGGAAUACGGAGGGUGCAAGCGUUAAUCGGAAUUACUGGGCGUAAAGCGCACGCAGGCGGUCUGACAAGUCAGAUGUGAAAUCCCCGGGCUUAACCUGGGAACUGCAUUUGAAACUGUCAGGCUGGAGUCUUGUAGAGGGGGGUGGAAUUCCAGGUGUAGCGGUGAAAUGCGUAGAGAUCUGGAGGAAUACCGGUGGCGAAGGCGGCCCCCUGGACAAAGACUGACGCUCAGGUGCGAAAGCGUGGGGAGCAAACAGGAUUAGAUACCCGAGUAGUCCCUGUCUCUUAUAU
Molecule: ribosomal RNA, 301 nt
Filed under: uncultured bacterium
Lineage: Bacteria
Description: partial 16S ribosomal RNA
Rfam family: Bacterial small subunit ribosomal RNA
Source: RNAcentral